CGUGGGCAAUCUGCCCUUCACUCUGGGACAAGCCCUGGAAACGGGGUCUAAUACCGGAUAACACUCCUGCCUGCAUGGGCGGGGGUUAAAAGCUCCGGCGGUGAAGGAUGAGCCCGCGGCCUAUCAGCUUGUUGGUGGGGUAAUGGCCUACCAAGGCGACGACGGGUAGCCGGCCUGAGAGGGCGACCGGCCACACUGGGACUGAGACACGGCCCAGACUCCUACGGGAGGCAGCAGUGGGGAAUAUUGCACAAUGGGCGAAAGCCUGAUGCAGCGACGCCGCGUGAGGGAUGACGGCCUUCGGGUUGUAAACCUCUUUCAGCAGGGAAGAAGCGCAAGUGACGGUACCUGCAGAAGAAGCACCGGCUAACUACGUGCCAGCAGCCGCGGUAAUACGUAGGGUGCGAGCGUUGUCCGGAAUUAUUGGGCGUAAAGAGCUCGUAGGCGGCUUGUCACGUCGGAUGUGAAAGCCCGGGGCUUAACCCCGGGUCUGCAUUCGAUACGGGCAGGCUAGAGUGUGGUAGGGGAGAUCGGAAUUCCUGGUGUAGCGGUGAAAUGCGCAGAUAUCAGGAGGAACACCGGUGGCGAAGGCGGAUCUCUGGGCCAUUACUGACGCUGAGGAGCGAAAGCGUGGGGAGCGAACAGGAUUAGAUACCCUGGUAGUCCACGCCGUAAACGUUGGGAACUAGGUGUUGGCGAC
Molecule: ribosomal RNA, 700 nt
Filed under: Streptomyces candidus
Lineage: Bacteria; Bacillati; Actinomycetota; Actinomycetes; Kitasatosporales; Streptomycetaceae
Description: bacterial SSU rRNA
Rfam family: Bacterial small subunit ribosomal RNA
Source: RNAcentral